RNAcentral lists this ribosomal RNA (465 nucleotides) under uncultured bacterium. Its description in RNAcentral is "partial 16S ribosomal RNA". It matches the Rfam family "Bacterial small subunit ribosomal RNA", at positions 28 to 507 of the family's 1533-position model. The record is from RNAcentral.
GAUGAACGCUGGCGGCGUGCUUAACACAUGCAAGUCGAACGGAAAGGCUCCUGCUUUCAGGGGUACUCGAGUGGCGAACGGGUGAGUAACACGUGGGUGAUCUGCCCUGCACUUCGGGAUAAGCCCGGGAAACUGGGGCUAAUACCGGAUAGGACCACAUUUUGGAUGGUGUGGUGGAAAGUUUUUCGGUGUGGGAUGAGCUCGCGGCCUAUCAGCUUGUUGGUGGGGUAAUGGCCUACCAAGGCGUCGACGGGUAGCCGGCCUGAGAGGGUGUACGGCCACAUUGGGACUGAGAUACGGCCCAGACUCCUACGGGAGGCAGCAGUGGGGAAUAUUGCACAAUGGGCGCAAGCCUGAUGCAGCGACGCCGCGUGGGGGAUGACGGCCUUCGGGUUGUAAACUGCUUUCGCUAGGGACGAAGCGCAAGUGACGGUACCUGGAGAAGAAGCACCGGCUAACUACGUG